RNAcentral lists this ribosomal RNA (451 nucleotides) under uncultured organism. RNAcentral's name for it is "partial 16S ribosomal RNA". It matches the Rfam family "Bacterial small subunit ribosomal RNA", at positions 330 to 797 of the family's 1533-position model. The record is from RNAcentral.
CGUACACUCCUACGGGAGGCAGCAGUGGGGAAUAUUGGACAAUGCGCGCAAGCCUGAUCCAGCCAUGCCGCGUGAGUGAUGAAGGCCCUAGGGUUGUAAAGCUCUUUCACCGGUGAAGAUAAUGACGGUAACCGGAGAAGAAGCCCCGGCUAACUUCGUGCCAGCAGCCGCGGUAAUACGAAGGGGGCUAGCGUUGUUCGGAUUUACUGGGCGUAAAGCGCACGUAGGCGGACUAUUAAGUCAGGGGUGAAAUCCCGGGGCUCAACCCCGGAACUGCCUUUGAUACUGGUAGUCUUGAGUUCGAGAGAGGUGAGUGGAAUUCCGAGUGUAGAGGUGAAAUUCGUAGAUAUUCAGAGGAACACCAGUGGCGAAGGCGGCUCACUGGCUCGAUACUGACGCUGAGGUGCGAAAGCGUGGGGAGCAAACAGGAUUAGAUACCCCUGUAGUCCCA